UUUAUUGAUUUUUUUGUUAUUUAUUUUUGUGGUAUCUAAUUGUUUAAUUGAAGAAUCAUUGUGGUUGUUGUAUUUUUGUGAUUUAAUUUUUUAUACGAUAGUAUAUUUGUACUGUAGGGGGUUAUUAGGUGUUUUUAUUGAAGUAGGUUUUGUUUGCCGUACCUUGUGUAUCAGGGUUCAUUGAAUUUUAUUAUUUAUUUUUAUUUCCCGAUUUUAAAGGAGUUAAUGAUUUAUGUUAGUUACUGUUUCAGUAGUAUUAAUAAUGGAUUAUUGGUAGUGAAAUGUUAUUCGUCUUUGGGGGUUUCUGGUUUUUCAAGAAAUGAAUUUAAUUCAUGCAUUUUAUUUAAUUUCUGUUGUUUAUUUAUUUGAUUUUAAUUUUAUGCUAAGAUUAAGGGGGAUUAGCUCCUUAUUUUAUUUUUAUAAUUGAUGGCUUUAAUUUAGUUUUGUGGAUUUUAUGGUGAUUUUCAAUUGGAUUAUGUUAAAAUUUUAUUUGUUCUUUUGUUUAUUUGGCUUUAGUUUAAUUUGUUUAUUGAAAUGUUUAUUUUAUCUUUGGUUAGUAUAGUAAUUAUUGUGUAAUUAGUAAAUUUUAUUUUUGUGUUGUAUUCUUUAUAUGUUAAUUUCUUUUUAGGAACUAGGCAAAAGUUUCAUGUCCGCCUGUUUAACAAAAACAUCUUUUCUUGUUAGUUUUUGAAGUAUGGCCUGCCCACUGACUUUGUGUUGAAGGGCCGCGGUAUUUUGACCGUGCAAAGGUAGCAUAAUCAUUAGUUCUUUAAUUGUGAUCUGGUAUGAAUGGCUUGACGAGACAUGAGCUGUCUUAGGGGUAUUGUUUAUUGAAUUUGGUUUUUGAGUUAAAAUUCUUAGAUGUUUUUAUGGGACGAGAAGACCCUAUAGAGUUUAACAUUUGUUCUUAUUGUGAUUUGUUGUUUGUUAUUGUUUUAUUUAGUAGGUUGAAUGUUUUGUUGGGGUGAUGGGAGGAAUUUUUUUAACUCCUCUUUGUUUUUAUAUAUUUAUUUAUAUUAUUUUGAUCCAUUUAUUUUGAUUAUAAGAUUAAAUUACCUUAGGGAUAACAGCGUUAUCUUCCUUGAGAGUUCUUAUUGGCGGGGAGGUUUGCGACCUCGAUGUUGGAUUAAGGUGAAUUUUCGGUGCAGGAGCUGAAAGUGAUUAGGUCUGUUCGACCUUUAAAAUCUUACAUGAUCUGAGUUCAGACCGGCGUGAGCCAGGUUGGUUUCUAUCUAUAAUAUAAUUUUAUACCUUAGUACGAGAGGACCGGGUAUUUGGAAUAAUUUUAGUAGUAUAUGAUUUUUAUUAAUGUAUU
Molecule: ribosomal RNA, 1315 nt
Filed under: Amitermes wheeleri
Lineage: Eukaryota; Metazoa; Arthropoda; Insecta; Blattodea; Termitidae
Description: 16S ribosomal RNA
Rfam family: Bacterial large subunit ribosomal RNA (bases 868-1238)
Source: RNAcentral